This is a non-coding RNA of Nomia melanderi (Alkali bee), 2810 nucleotides long. NCBI's taxonomy places the organism in Eukaryota, Metazoa, Arthropoda, Insecta, Hymenoptera, Halictidae. The record is from RefSeq and is a predicted model, not a curated record.
UUCCCGCCAGUCCAUUGUCGUCACUCUGUCCAAUUGUGCUCCGAAUUCAGUUAAAGUGACAACAUAAUACUUAAACUCUCUGAACACUAAACGGUUUCUUGUCUCAGAAUUCUAACUUGAAAAUAAUACUUUAAUACCUGAUGCUUAAAUAACAUCAGCAAGAGAUACAUUUUUUAUUUUAAAUUCCGGAGACUCACACCGUGACACGGUCAACGUGUUAACACACCAUAGCACUUGACAACCGACCGCGUUUGAAUGGUGUAACAUGUUAUGACUAUUGUCAAACUUUUGUCAAACCUUUUCUAUAUCCGAAACUUCAAUCGCUUAUUAUGGUGAUUCUAUCGCGUUUGGUGCCAUUGUAAUCAGAAAAACACAACAAGCAUGGUAAAAGUUUCAUUCAUUAAAAAUCAAAAAUAAAAAAGUUUCAUUUUUAAGUUGAAGGUCUUAAGCUCGUCGCGACCCUUUAAUGUUGCUGAACGCUCCGACUCUCAACCUUUCUUUUUCCUUCACUUGGAUUGUCCCUUUUUAUCCCGCAAUGCUAAAAUCUUCGUUUCUUGGACUCGAAUCGAUUCUACCUCUUCAUAAUUGUCAUAUUCGAGUCUCCGUAAUAGUUGCAAUUAUCAAAUGUUCACUGUAUUAGGUUCUAGAGUAUUAGGUAUAUCGGUUCUGAGUUAUGUCGGUUUCGGUUCUAGUUCUUCAAAACCAAUACAGAACUGAUAUAAUAUCCUAAUAACAGUUGUGACUUUAUUUUGAUUCGUCAUAAUUGCUUUAGUCGGAACCAAUAUCUAACACUUUCGAGCAAUUAUUUUCAAAAUCUUUUCAAACUCUGUCUAAAAAUUCAUUCGUCUGUUCAUAAUACUGUUCGGGAAAAAUUUGCUUCUCUUUCGUUCAAAUAUAAGCAAAAUCGACAAAAUUGUAUCCCUCUUGAAUGAUUCUCUGGGUGUAGAAUUUUCCGUAUGGAGUAAUGAUACAGAUGAUAUUUAAAGGAAUACAAAAUCCAGAAAACGGAACUGUUGAAGACUUAGAAUUGCAUUAUAUGUACUAUAUAGAUAUGGAAAGAAGUGCACUGAUCCUCGAUAUACGCGAAAAGUAAUGACACUUCAAAAAACAAAAGUACAUUUUAUUUGUUGUUACUAAAUUCAGAUCACGCAUAAAAACUACUGCAUAAAUACUGUUAUAAUUUUUCGCGUAAAUUGAAGGUCAGAUGUACCACUUAAACUUCAGAAUAAAAUAUUUCAGUAAGUAGAGUUUUUAAUGAUAAACUCCUAUACUUUUUUUACGCAAAACUACGCAGAAAGCUAUAUAUAAAAAACAUAUAGAGUUUCGUUUAAAAAAACUGCGAUUGUAAAACUUUGCAAUUGUAUCAACGCAAUUAUGAUAAAACCUGUACCAUAAUAUGGUAGAGGAGCCGGUCAAGUCAAACUUUUCCUUUACGACUUUUUUCGAUUGCAAUUUUAUUAGUAACAGUUAUAGCUUAUUUCAGUUACUAGAUAUACCGUGUACGUAUAUUCGAAGUACUUUUAAGUAGAGUCUCAGAUAAAGAAUGGAUUAUAUUUAAUUAUAGAAAGAUCUAUAAUGUGAUCAGACAUCGAAGAUAGUAUUUAACACGUAAUGUUAUAAAUAUAUUAAAUAUGUAUUUCUGUAAGUUAUGAUCAUUCAUGGUGAAUUUCUUAGAAUACCUAUGUUAAAAGCCAGAGCAUAUAAGUAAGGACGUUCCCGUAAGUUAUGAGGUUUAUAACAGCAAAUUCAAUCCGUUAAAAAAUUAGAACGAGAAAUCAAUUACAUAAUUAGAAAAGAUAUCAAAACGUAUAGUAGUCGUUGUUUAUUUUGUAAAUAUUAAUCGAUUUUUAUGUGAACUCGUAUAUGUGGAGUAUAAACAAAAAUAGGAGUGAUUAUUUGAUAUAUUUUUCCAUUUCGUGCCAGAAAAUGUAUUCUGACACGUUUCCCACAAAAUAUCAUAAACUUUUUUUAUAUUCUCAGCAGUCCUGUUUACAGCCAGAAAAGAUACUGCAGAUAAGGUCUGACGCGUUACUAAUCAUCGCUGCAGUGCGCUAUAAGGAAUACAGAGUACAAGGAUACAUUCCGAAACUGGAAAAAAAACAAUUUCUUAUAGAUUUUCAUACAUUAUAGACUUUUAAAAACCGCAUCGACUGGAGCACUCAAAACUGUAGACUUUCCCAUAAAAAAGUAUCGUAGGCAGUGGGACAGCGAGUAUUCUGAAAGACAGGAAGAGGGCCAUAAAAGAGAAAGGGAUUGAUGGAGACCAGGCCCAAAGAUUGGCGAGUUUUCCCGAGCGAUGCGUAAGCGAGAAUGAUGAGUGCGUGGUGGUUAGAGUAGGGUGUGGUUGAGAAUUUGUUGGAAGUGCGAGUGAAAAGAAUGCUUGUGAGGGAGAGAAUGAUUUUUAAGUGCGGAUGGCGAGAGAUUUUGGAGAGAGUUGCGUUGGCUGUGGAAGAGAAGAGACCUGUACACUGCGAGCUAUAUCGUUUCUAUUUACUUGUAUCUUAUUCGAUUAACUAUUCCUAUGCUUUCUUUAAAUAAAAUAUAAUUAUUUCCAUUAAUACCACACCAUUUUUUCUGUCUCUAACCAUUGGGAAGGUAUAGCUUGUCCCAGUUGCGUGGAUACCCUGUAUAUGUGUGUGAACGCACGACAAGUAUGAAAACGAGUUGAAUAUUUAUUGUGAGAAGGUCGCUAACUCGUCGAUAAGCUGAGCAGAAUAGUUAAAAUUAUAUGAAGAUUUCAGGCGUUAACACAGAAAAAAGACAGGCGAAAUGUUUCUGCAAGCAUUGUUACAGGAGGUGUUCACGAUAGA